GCAGAGAGGAUGUUCGAGGAAGAAAUUGGUGGUUUGAAAGUGAAGAAAUUGGGUCCCUCUAUAUGGUUCUCAAGAUGCAACAACUUCUCCAAAACUACGACAUCCGUAACGAAACCCUAAAAGAUGUCGCUUCGUACAUGCUAAAAGCAAUGGUUUUAGAUCUUGAAGGUUUAGGUUGGCUAUUCCAAAGCUUAGCGUACAUGGUAUGGUUUCUGCUGUGAAAGAUAUUUUAGAGCAGCUUAAACUUUGUGUUGCACAUCAUUACCCAAAAUACAGUUUGUUGAAAGUAUGGCGAAGUCUUAGUUAUAAUCUGAAAACAACUCUCGG
This is a long non-coding RNA of Vicia villosa (hairy vetch), 327 nucleotides long. RefSeq lists it as uncharacterized. The record is from RefSeq and is a predicted model, not a curated record. The transcript has 3 exons. Lineage: Eukaryota; Viridiplantae; Streptophyta; Magnoliopsida; Fabales; Fabaceae.